RNAcentral lists this long non-coding RNA (1136 nucleotides) under Cottoperca gobio. RNAcentral describes it as "lncRNA (ENSCGOG00000003454.1)". Lineage: Eukaryota; Metazoa; Chordata; Actinopteri; Perciformes; Bovichtidae. The record is from RNAcentral.
GAGACACACACACAGAAUAGAGGGUGUCCCACAGUGAUGAGCAAUCCUGUUUCAGUCUGAUUUAAACUUUAGUUUGCAGAAGCUUUAAACCUGAAACUCACUAGUCCCUAAUGCAAAGGCAGCCUGCUAACAGACAGACAAGUCAAAGAACAACCUUUAAUUUCACCCUGGAAGACCAAGUAACCUGCCAGUGGAGACGACAAGCCUCAAAUCCAGCAGUGAAGCAGCCGCCAGCUCCCAGCAGCACCUCCGCUCACAGGACUCUACCAGAACACUACUGCUGUAUUCAAGGAGAGGGACAGUCAGGAGGUAUGCAAGAAACAGACCAGGUAGGAGCAUCACACACACACACACACACACACACACACACACACACACACACACACACACACACACCACACACACACACACUUUUGUCUUUCAUUAUUUGGAGGACCCUCAUUGAAAUGCAUUCCCGAGCCCCUCACACUUGCCUUAAAAGGGAACAUCGCCUACAUUAAGAAUUCUAAUGUGUUUUCAUGGCAUAUCCCUGAUGACAUCACACAUUUCAGUUUUCGCACUCUAGUGUUUGGAGUUGUUCAUGUUAAUAUUUUUGGACUGUCUUAUAGGAAUAACAUGUAUGAAUUUAGAAAAUGGGCGUAGUUCACCUCUAACGAUCACAACUUUCUAACAGUCGUUUGAUGUAGUGCGGGCCAACAUGUCAUCAGAGUGCAGACAUGUCCUCACUAAUUCUCACAAACACAGCAAUACAAGCCCACACACAUGUGUAUUUGUACAGGAAAAAAGUUUGGCUUUUGUAGUUGUUCCUCUGACUUGUAGUGAAAACUUUGAGAGUUCUGUUAAUCACGGCCAGCUGAGGACGGCCACUGUUACAUACUUUGAACAGCAGCUUUGUUUCUGUUACUGUAGUAGCUGAUGGUACAUUGUGUUACGCUCUUCAAUCCUAAUUUCCUCUUAAAUGUCCUCUUACAGUAAGUAUCAUUAAAGUUACUUCUUGGCUGUUUGUACUGACAAGCUGGCUGGUGUCAAGUAGUCAGUGUGACAUGGUGGGGGAGCUCAAUGAUCAUGUAACAAAGUGUCAUAUUGAGCUUCCUGUUCCCAGAUCUUGCUAAUAACGUAUGUGUUGUAAAGCAAGG